Taeniopygia guttata (zebra finch) is the source of this 6277-nucleotide non-coding RNA. The record is from RefSeq and is a predicted model, not a curated record. Lineage: Eukaryota; Metazoa; Chordata; Aves; Passeriformes; Estrildidae.
GGCGCGGGGUGCGGGUCGCCGUUGUUAUGGAGACGCGCCCCGCGUGGCGGGGCCGGUCCGCGCCCGCCCCGGGCCGGGACCGCGGCGCUCCGCCGGGGAGAGCGGCCGGGGCGCGGGGCGGGAGCCGCCCGGUGCGGCGGCAGCCUGCGAGCAUCCUCGCACGCUCCGUGCGCUCCCGCAGGUGACAUCAGUGCUAUUAAAGGCAGUACCCCUGUUGUGAUGAGCUCUGUAUGUAGACUGCAGAACAGUUUGGUGUUCUUUGGUUAUUUCUACCAUGACUCUUCCCUUUUGACUGGCAAGUGAAGAAUAAAGUUUUUGGAGUUCAUUUGGCACUUUGUUUCUCAGUUUUCUCUGCAGCUCUGACUCUCAGGUUGUUGAUCACAGCUCUGUUGCAGCUCCCCCAGUCAUGGACCCUGUGGGUAACAGCUCACAACACUCAAAGCUGUUCUUUAUAGCUUCAUGUCAAAACCUACAGGCUGGGAUGAAACUAAAUCUGAAGAAGAUGAAGGUUUAUUUUCAAAAUUCAAGCACAUAAACUGAAUCAAAUGGACUUAUUGCUAACAAUGCAGAUUGCAUUUGCAAUCAAGUGUAGUUUUUACUAUUCACAUUACAUAUUCUAUAAAAGCAAGUAUAGCUUAAUCAUAGCCAAAUAUGUUCUGUAAACAUCAUUGCCUCUUUUUAUUAAAGGAGGGAUGGAGUGCUGCCGACUUCUAGAAGAUCAGGAACCAUCUGUUCUAAGCAGUAAUGCUUACUGCUACCUGCUCUGUGACGUUGUUGUUUAGGGUUGAUUUUAGCUUAGUUCUGGCUUGUGUCUCUUUGGUCAAGGGAGCUAAAGAAAGUUCCUAAGGAGGGCAUAGGUAAAGACUCCUGAGUUACAAGUUGUGAUUGGAACUUGCCAUUGAAAACUCAGUUACUGUUUGCAGUAAAAACUUCCUUUUUUUCAUCUUCCUUUGUUGCUGUCUCUUUUUUAUGGUAGGAAGAAAGCAAAAAAAAAAAAAAAAAGUGCUGUUUUCCAACAAAAAGCACAAUUCUAGCCUGUGGAGCUUCUAAUAUGGUUAGAACUCCAGAGUGCAUGGUUAGCUGUUAGGCAUUCUUACUUAUCCUCAGACUUUAUUUUCUGAAGUUAAUUCCCUUUUAUAUGGAGAAAUAAAGGCAGUGAAGCAGCCAGGGUGUAGCUGUGGAGGAAUCAGUUGUUCUCUUGUGACACGCGUGGUUCUAUCUUUGUUUUCUUCUCUGUCCUUUUUCUGAGGAAGCAGGAUAAGAAACCAGGAAGAACAAACCUGGCAGUGCCCCAUAGGUGUGUCUCACUGCCUGCCAUAAGCUGAUUCUUGUUGAUGCCAGAGCUGCUUCUGCCUGACUUCUUCAUUAGCCAUAGUUUUGCCUUUCUGUGUCCUCAUCAAACAGAGAUGGCAGCUCCUGGCGAGCUCUUCAUCUGAGUUCACUUGUGUGUUCACACUAAUGUUUAAAAACGUGGGGUGCUGAAAAAGUGACUGACGGAAAGAGUCAUCUAAAAGCAGGCAGAGGGGAAUAGAAUCAACGGAUCAAUUCUGUAAUGUGCUUAUUGGAUAAUAACAGUAUUGAGCCAAAAGAUAAAUCCAGAUGCAGACAAAAGGGAUGUGGAAUUAAGUGACCAAUUCUGCAGUGGGCUUGUUGGGUAAGAGCAGAGUGGCACCAGAGGGCUGAUGGCACUUCUCUGGCCUGAGAAAAUGGAAUCAUCACUUCUCUCAAAGAUGAGUAUUAAUGGACAAAUUUCUGUUGUGUAAAUCAAUAUCUAGGUAGGCAUUGCAUCAGCAGCUUAGAUGAUUCAGCUCACCCAUGUGAGAUUUCGAUUUCCUGUCACAAGUGAAGAGUAAGAGCAAAUAUUGUAUUAGCCACAUUAAUUUCAUAUCUUGAAUAUUAGAAUAGCUAAGCAGGCAGUGGGAAGAUGCAGUACACUGCAUUUCUUGUCCAAAAGCAGAAUAGAAGUGAAGAAGCCAAGAGAAUUCUUCUGUCAGAAGUGCCUGGGUUUGGUGUGGCACAGCCUUUCCUUAGAAAAAUUAUUAGCCUUAAGGGGAAAGCUGCUGCUACUUACUGUUUGUUACAGAGCACUUGAGGAUAACAGUGGGGUGCUGUCCAAGGCUAGGAUUAGGCAGCUGCAAAGCACUCAAAGAUUUUGGAUAUAUUCCUGACUGGAGGCUUUGGGAAACCAAGUAAUAUAACCAAGUGUUACUGUGUUGGAGAAUGGGUAUGUGUGACUUUACACCUAGCAGUUGACUUCUUGAGCAAGCUCACCUGCCUUCUUGCAGCACAGUGUAAAUGUCCUGCCUGUCAAGGUAGUUCUUAAGAGUCUUUAGAAGGGGCAAUUCUUUAUUUUUCUCUGGUAUUUUUUGUUGCCCAUGCUGCCUGUCAUAAGCCAACAUAGCUUUUGUGCUAUAAGAAAGGCAGUGGAUUUUUGUAGAUAUGAUGAUAGACAUUUACUUAGUUUUAUUUAAUUCCUAUUCAUGGAAGCUGAGUAGCUGAAGCUAAUGAAGCAGUGAAGACCACCUAGCUGGUGAACUAUUUGAGACUGAACCGAAAUGCUUUAUCCCUCAGCAAGACUUUGUUCUUCAGGAACCACAAUAGAUAAAUGGGCAAGUCAUAUAGAGUCUCAGUGAUUUUAUUUCCACAUCAAAUAAUGAUGUGCUGUGGUUAGUGUAUUUUUGUAGUGAAAUAGUACUGUUUGAAGCCUGGUAAAAAUGCUGCUCUUUGAAGGAAGAAACAUGGACAUUGAAAAAACUACCUUUGAAACCAGAUUUAGAACUUUUUAAUUUGCUCUUCCUCUAAGCUGUGUCUUUUGAGUUUUUUAUUUAACUUACAGUUAUGUCCCACAAAUCCUAAAUCUAGUAAUCUGUCAGAAGUUAUUUUCAAAUGUUCUGUUAGAAAUACAUGUUACAGUGCAGUGAGGGAAGAGGGUUCAAGACUGAUGGCCUAGUCAAUUUGGAAGUGUAGCUUCUAAUUUUUUUGCUAUUUGAAAUUGCUCUAGUGUUAAUGGAAUCUAUUAUGUACGUGGAAAACAGGAUGAUGCUGUGUUUCUUUCCAGAAAAAAAAUACUGUCUUUGCUAAUGGAGUUGAAUCAUAUAUAUUUUCACUUUUUGUUAUACAUAUAGUAAACAUUUCUACCAAUAAAACAUGUUUUAAAACCUUUUAGUUGGUCUGGAUUUUUAUGAAUGUAAAAGCAAGACAGAAAUUCAAAACAUUCUAUGUACGUGUUUAAAUUUCCAGGAGCAGAUGGCAUUGUUGAGGGUGGACUCUGGGGAGUGUAAGAAUUUUUGAAGUGUAAUUUCUGAUUUCGUUUCAGUCCAGACACGUCUUCAUGAGCUGUCUAUGUAGAAAGACUUUCUCUAAUGAUUUUUGUUAUAAGGUGUGAGAAGUAAUCCACCAUAAACAUUCUCAGCUGUUUGUAGCCAAAAUAAGUUGAUGAGUUAAUUGAUUGAUACUUGGCAAAUUUUUGUCUUGACAUUUACUGAGUCAUGCUGUGUUCUGAAACUCUUGUAGGUGUUUGACGUAUCAGCCAAUUCAGCUAAUGCUAAAAAUACUUAACAAGAGUUACAAUAAGAAGCUGAUUUUCAGUGCACUUCAAGAAUGCACCUUCCAUUAUCUGCUCAUUGUCCAAACACCCAGCAAUCCAUUCAGGACAGAUUUCCAGUGAAGUUUUUGCUUCUAAGGGACUCAUUCAGCUGGUCCUAACUCCUUGCAGUGGCUGUGAGCUGUCUUGUGGAAAUUGGCUGGAUAUACACUGUGUGUGUUUAUCACUUGGGUGUGUUAGCUGCUAGCACAACAGGAUUAAAACCCAGUUAUAGAUUGUGUAGGUCCUGCCAUCCCUGUUGAAUUUCCCCUGUGGGAUUUGAUGGAACAGUUCACAGAGCAGAUUGUCUUUCAGGAAGGAAGAGACAGUACAGAAAGGUUACAGUAGUAAACAAAUGCUGACCUGCAGCAUUCAGCAGCCAGUUUUGCUGAAGACUAAAUUAUGUGUGCAUUUAGACCCAAACUCGAGACAUUUUGUUGUGCUUUGUUAAUCCAAACAAACAGCAACUAAGUGGAAAAGGUACAUCCAACAAGGAGUGAGGGGGUAGAGUCUGUGGGAUUAAAACUUGAGAAAACAUUUCAGGAAGCUUGAAGACUUCUAUGAAAUGCAAUACUUGUCAGAUUGAUUAAUUGAUGCUCAAGUCUGUCUUCCUCUAUCCUUUGGAAAUACAGCUGUCAUGCUUUGAGCUCAAUAAUGAUUUAAAAAACCUAAUUUUCACAUACAUUAGUUUUCUUAUAUGCCUUUCUGUUACCAUGUGUGAUGGGAAGUUGGUGCUGCUGCCUCUGUAGGUUGAUUUCAUCCCACUCAGGGUCAUACAGGUGCAGAAGGACUGCACAAACACCUGAGUUAGACUCUGCAAAUGGUUUAAGCCUAGUUCCAUGUUUCCAGGAAGGCUGUCUCCCUGUGCAGAGUUCUUUUGGUGGAGCCUCUUGGGAUGGAACAAGGGGUGAUGGUUUUAAACUGAAGGAGAGUUGAUUUAGAUUAGAUAUAAGAAGAAUUUUUUACAAAGAGUGUGGUGAUAACACCUGGAGUAGGUUGCUGAGAGAGGUGGUGGGUGCCCCAUGUCUGCAGGGGUUCAAGGGCAGGUUGGAGGGGACUUUAAACAGCCUGGUAUAGUGAAAGGUAUCCUUGCCCAUGGCAGUGGGGUUGGAAUUAAAGAUCUCUUCUAACCAAAGCCAGUACAUGAUUCUAUGAUUUCCAGAUAUCCCAGGUGCUAAACUGGAGAUUUGCUUCUCUCUGCAUUGAAGGGCAUACAGCUCAGAAUCAUCUAAUUGUGUUUCUCUGCAUUCUUAAAAUACCAUUUGUCAUUAUGAAAUGAGUACACAAAUGACAAAACUACAUUUGUCUUCUUUGCAGCUUUCAGAGAAUGCAACUUCACUAAUGCAAGCAAAGUGUUAAACUCUAGGAAAGCCAAAACUGGACAAGAGUGUGUAAUGUCAGCAUGGGGUGCUACUUGGAAAAAAUGCACUGAUAGUGAAAUGAUUUCAUGUCUAGCAAUGUUUCUUUGAUGUUUGUCUGGUAGCUGUGUCCUCUGUUCACUGAGGACUAGCAGCAGCUCUCAUGACUGUAUCAUCCAGUUUAAUUGUAAAGGAGCUUUUAUAAUGCCCCAGAGCAAGGAAAUACCAUCUCACAAAUGGAAUGCCUAGUAAUUGAAACAGGUUUAUUAGUUGCUAAAAUCACAACAUUCAAUAUUUAGUGUAUUUACAAGCAUUUUAUUAUCAUAAAAAUAAUGUUUUAAAAUGGAGCCUUAGUAAAGACUUUUAGAAGGAAAUGAGAGAAUCAAAUCAGAACUGAUGUCAAGUGUUCUGGACAGCACCAGAAGAUCAGAGAACAAAUGAAUAAAUUAUAAUCACUGUUUUAGAGGAAAGCUUGUAAAUGAGUUUUAUCAUUACUGCAGUGACUGAAGACAUUUAGAUAUUUAAAUAUCCAGGCAUAGAUGAAUGCAUUGACAUAAUAGUAGCAACUAUGUCUUUAUUAAUUGACUUAAAUUGCACCUGUGCAGUAUGAAGGUAGCAAAAAUAUGACCCUGAAAGCUAAAUUAUUCAUUAAUUUAAUUAUUUGUAUAUUCUUUGACAUUUACAUUAAUCUCUGUUUUUAGGACAGAAGAGAAACUGUUUCCAGGGUUGUUUUGCCAGUUUAGUAGACACUUUAGAAGUGUCUGCUGACUCCAGUCUUUGUUUGAGCUCAAGGCAUGGUGCUGUUCAUAAACCUAACACUGGGCAUUGUUUCUGUUCUCAGGCAGAAGGGAAGAAAUAAGUCCUGUCCUUGAAAAAAAAAUUUGGCUUUUGUUCCUUUGUGAUGGAACUGUAUUACCCUGCUUGGUGAGGAGAAGCUUUUGUGCAGAUUAUAGAGUCUCCAUUUCUUUGUGCAGACAUUGAUAAGAAUUGUGAAUUAGCUUAUCUUUGCCAUUUAAUGAGAUUUCUGUUAAGAGAAGCUGAGAACUAAGCACUUAUUGUGUGUUCAAGGGUUGACUUAGUUUUGUUUACGUCUAAAGUCACUGGUAAUUUUAUUUACAGUUUUAUAAUAAAUUGAUAAUUUUUUCCUGUUCUGUGCAUGCAGAUCUGCUGGUGAACCUCAGGGAAAAUUUGUUCUCAGGAAAAACCUCACACAAGUGCUUCUUAUUUUUGGCUCUGAAUCGAUCUGCUUAUCUCAUUUGUGGUAGGAAGUGAGAAGGUUGCAGAUGUUUCAUGGAAACAAAAAUACUGAUGCCAAAGAAUUGGAACUUCACAAAAA